AGGAGCAGUAAUAGGGCAUCUUUCUAUUGGCACGAGACAGUGAGAUGUGCUCUUUUUGUGUGUGUGUUCAUGGCUACUUGGCUCUGUCACUUGCCAAAGGAGAGUUGCCCUGUCACUGCUUCC
Molecule: microRNA precursor, 123 nt
Filed under: Brassica napus (rape)
Lineage: Eukaryota; Viridiplantae; Streptophyta; Magnoliopsida; Brassicales; Brassicaceae
Description: pre miRNA mir-399
Source: RNAcentral